GAUGAACGCUGGCGGCGUGCCUAAUGCAUGCAAGUCGAGCGAACGGACGAGAAGCUUGCUUCUCUGAUGUUAGCGGCGGACGGGUGAGUAACACGUGGAUAACCUACCUAUAAGACUGGGAUAACUUCGGGAAACCGGAGCUAAUACCGGAUGAUAUUUUGAACCGCAUGGUUCAAAAGUGAAAGACGGUCUUGCUGUCACUUAUAGAUGGAUCCGCGCUGCAUUAGCUAGUUGGUAAGGUAACGGCUUACCAAGGCAACGAUGCAUAGCCGACCUGAGAGGGUGAUCGGCCACACUGGAACUGAGACACGGUCCAGACUCCUACGGGAGGCAGCAGUAGGGAAUCUUCCGCAAUGGGCGAAAGCCUGACGGAGCAACGCCGCGUGAGUGAUGAAGGUCUUCGGAUCGUAAAACUCUGUUAUUAGGGAAGAACAUAUGUGUAAGUAACUGUGCGCAUCUUGACGGUACCUAAUCAGAAAGCCACGGCUAACUACGUG
Molecule: ribosomal RNA, 497 nt
Filed under: uncultured bacterium
Lineage: Bacteria
Description: partial 16S ribosomal RNA
Rfam family: Bacterial small subunit ribosomal RNA
Source: RNAcentral